Molecule: long non-coding RNA, 1227 nt
Organism: Leptopilina boulardi
Lineage: Eukaryota; Metazoa; Arthropoda; Insecta; Hymenoptera; Figitidae
Exons: 6
Source: RefSeq, a predicted model, not a curated record
AUAUUAUUAUUACAUGCUGGGAAAAAGUAUUUGAUAAUUUUUAAACAAAAUAUCAUAAAAAAUGGAAGAAAAGUUUCUAAAACGCCAAUUGCUGAUAGAUGGUGAUAACAAGUUUCUUUAUGUCGUUUAUGAAACAUCUGUAAUAGUAGAUCCAAAAAUACAAAGGUUGAAAGAAGGAGAUCACGUAAUCUUUCGUUGGCCAGAAUCAGCAAAAGCUCCAAUAAUUUAUAAAGGGAAAAUAUUAAUCAACCAAAGAAUAUGAAUUGCAAAACUUGGUUUCAAAAAUAAAAAAACAGAGGACUAUAGAAAAUAAGAAACGAAACUCACAAUCAGAUGAUUCCAAAAACAAUGAGAAAAAGCGCUGUAAAAGUACGACGGAAAUAACAAAGAAAUUGACAGAAUCGGAAAAAAUUGGUGAAAAAUUGGAGGAUAAAGUAAGAAUAAAAAUUUUAUUUCACGCAUUCAUGCUAACAAGAUCUUAAGUUUAAAACGAGAAUCAAAUUUCUUAUGCGCUGAUGAGUAAUUUAAAAUAACAGAAGAAAUUAAAGCCAAGAAAAUUAAGGACAAUCUUAAAAAAAGAACAUUAAUAGAUAAAUUUAUGGAUAUUCGUUAUGCCGCCUUUUCCCUGUUGGAUAAAAUUGAUGCUUUGAAAAAUGAUAUUGAAAUGUCAGAGAAAAAAACCACAGAAUCAAUUCCACUGAACUCUGAGUUUGAUGUUUCGAGUUGUAGUUUUAAUGAAAAUGAUACUUCUUAAAUAAUUUAUGAGGUGAAAGAAAAUAUGGAUGAAAAUGACAAGGACGAAAGUUUUGAAAUUAUAAAUUCUGAUAAGGAGAAUGACUCUGAUGAAGACGAAAAUCAAAAUGAUAGAUCAACUCUUUUGUAUCCGACUUACAUUCCUGACUUUACCUGUGAAGUUCAUACCGACUCUAAAAUAUAUUUGUGGAAGAAUCCUUGUUUAAACAAUGCAAAAGAGAAUCAAAUAAUCCCAAUUCAUAUGCCAGAUCUCUCCUGGACUUAAUUUUUACCCAAGAAGCUAUCUUAACACGUACUUUGCAAGGGAAAGGAAAAGGGAAAAAAAUGGGUUUACAUUCAAAAGCUGUGACUGCUUUAUUAAACGCUGUUCAAUCACAAAUUCGAAAGAAAAAUUGGGACAAAGUUGAAAAUGCAACAAUUAAAACAUCAUUAAGAUCAAAAAUUUUCGAAGCAUCAAAAAAAGCUUAAUUAAGU